This 407-nucleotide ribosomal RNA is filed under the name uncultured bacterium. RNAcentral describes it as "partial 16S ribosomal RNA". It matches the Rfam family "Bacterial small subunit ribosomal RNA", at positions 355 to 774 of the family's 1533-position model. The record is from RNAcentral.
UGGGGAAUAUUGCACAAUGGGCGGAAGCCUGAUGCAGCAACGCCGCGUGCGGGAUGACGGCCUUCGGGUUGUAAACCGCUUUCGCCUGUGACGAAGCGUGAGUGACGGUAAUGGGUAAAGAAGCACCGGCUAACUACGUGCCAGCAGCCGCGGUGAUACGUAGGGUGCGAGCGUUGUCCGGAUUUAUUGGGCGUAAAGGGCUCGUAGGUGGUUGAUCGCGUCGGAAGUGUAAUCUUGGGGCUUAACCCUGAGCGUGCUUUCGAUACGGGUCGACUUGAGGAAGGUAGGGGAGAAUGGAAUUCCUGGUGGAGCGGUGGAAUGCGCAGAUAUCAGGAGGAACACCAGUGGCGAAGGCGGUUCUCUGGGCCUUUCCUGACGCUGAGGAGCGAAAGCGUGGGGAGCGAACA